This is a small nuclear RNA of Grammomys surdaster, 165 nucleotides long. RefSeq annotates it as U1 spliceosomal RNA. The transcript has a single exon. Lineage: Eukaryota; Metazoa; Chordata; Mammalia; Rodentia; Muridae. The record is from RefSeq and is a predicted model, not a curated record.
GUAUUUACCUGGCAUGGGUGAAAUUAGGAUCACCACGAAGGUAGUUUUCCAAGGCAAAGUUUAUCCAAUUCACUCUGGAUGUACUCACUCAGGGGUUUCCCCACAAGCAGGAAACACGGCUGCAUAAUUUAUGGUAAUGGGGGACUGUGUUCACACUCUCCCCUG